GGGGAUAUAGCUCAGUGGCACAGCACUUGCCUAGCAUGCAUGAGGCCCUGGGUUCAAUCCUCAGUACUGCAA
RNAcentral lists this transfer RNA (72 nucleotides) under Heterocephalus glaber (naked mole-rat). It matches the Rfam family "tRNA". From Rfam's summary of the family: Transfer RNA (tRNA) molecules are approximately 80 nucleotides in length. Lineage: Eukaryota; Metazoa; Chordata; Mammalia; Rodentia; Bathyergidae. The record is from Rfam by way of RNAcentral.